Molecule: non-coding RNA, 106 nt
Organism: Acanthosepion pharaonis
Lineage: Eukaryota; Metazoa; Mollusca; Cephalopoda; Sepiida; Sepiidae
Source: the annotation of a GenBank genome assembly
AUAACCAUGGUGAAACACCAGUUCAUGCCCGAUCAACAAAGUUAAGCAACAUUGAGCCUAGUCAGUACUUAGUUGGAUGACUGCUUAGGAAUACCAGGUGCUGAAA